GAUGAACGCUGGCGGCGUGCCUAACACAUGCAAGUCGAGCGAACAGACGUGGAUCUUGUUCCUGUGACGUUAGUGGCGCAUGGGUGAGUAACAUGUGGAUAACCUCCCUAUCUGACUGGGAUUACUUCUGGAACCUGGGGCUAAGACCGGAUAAUAUUUCGCACCGCAUGGUUCGAUAGUGAAUGAUUGCUUUGCUAUCACUUAUAUAUGGACCUGCGCCGUAUUAGCUAGUUGGUAGGGUAACGGCUUUCCAGGGCAACGAUACGUAGCCGACCUGAGAGAGUGAUAGGACACGCUGGGAGUGAGACACGGUCCAGACUCCGACGGGAAGAAGCAGUAGGGUACCUUGGGCAGUAGGAGAGAGGAUGACGGAGCAACGGGGCGUAGGUGAAGGAGGUAAUGGGAUGGGGAAGCAGUAUUAUUAGGGGUGAACAAACGUGUAAGUAGGAGAAGAAGUAAUGACGGUACCUGAUCAAAAAGCAACGGCUAACUACGUG
This 497-nucleotide ribosomal RNA is filed under the name uncultured bacterium. RNAcentral describes it as "partial 16S ribosomal RNA". It matches the Rfam family "Bacterial small subunit ribosomal RNA", at positions 28 to 507 of the family's 1533-position model. The record is from RNAcentral.